CAGUCGUGCAGUCAUCAACUCAGCGGGUAGCGUAGGUAAUUUAUUACUUUCGUUCUCCGUGUACUUUGUUGUCUGCUGGUUAGCAUCAAUUUUGAUUGUCAUAAAAAGGUUAAGGGGAUGUGGCUCCUUCGGGAGUGUUAUAACCCUUAGCGGAAUGUGGCGAUUGGGAUUGAGGAUUGCAACGAAUACCUUUAGGGCAGUUCCGUCUGAUCUCUUGUUGACGUUUAGAUGGCAACAGCUUGCUUUUGUUGUUUGAAUAGUUAGCAAAUAGAUUGGAUAGUGUAUUUA
Molecule: ribosomal RNA, 288 nt
Filed under: uncultured fungus
Lineage: Eukaryota; Fungi
Description: partial large subunit ribosomal RNA
Source: RNAcentral